This 252-nucleotide ribosomal RNA is filed under the name uncultured bacterium. RNAcentral describes it as "partial 16S ribosomal RNA". It matches the Rfam family "Bacterial small subunit ribosomal RNA", at positions 525 to 776 of the family's 1533-position model. The record is from RNAcentral.
ACGGAGGGUGCAAGCGUUAUCCGGAUUCAUUGGGUUUAAAGGGUGCGCAGGUGGGCUUGUAAGUCAGUGGUGAAAUCUUGCCGCUUAACGGUAAAAUUGCCAUUGAUACUGCAAGUCUUGAGUAUGGUUGAGGUAGGUGGAAUGUGUUGUGUAGCGGUGAAAUGCAUAGAUAUGACACAGAACGCCGAUUGCGAAGGCAACUUACUAAGCCAUUACUGACGCUGAGGCACGAAAGCGUGGGGAGCGAACAGG